GGCGACGUGGCCAAGUGGUAAGGCAGGGGCCUGCAAAGCCCUUAUCCCCGGUUCGAUUCCGGGCGUCGCCUCCA
This 74-nucleotide transfer RNA is filed under the name bacterium. RNAcentral describes it as "tRNA-Cys". It matches the Rfam family "tRNA". Rfam says of the family: Transfer RNA (tRNA) molecules are approximately 80 nucleotides in length. Their secondary structure includes four short double-helical elements and three loops (D, anti-codon, and T loops). RNAcentral also lists the same sequence under 4 other names. The record is from RNAcentral.